ACUGGGCACGAUGGCACUUGCCUAUAGUCCCACCUACUUGGGAGGCUGAGACAAGAGGAUCCCUUGAAUCCAGGAGUUCCGGGCUGUAGUGCACUAUGGAGAUUGGGUGGCCACACUAAGUUCGGCAUCAGUAUAGUGACCUCCUAGGAGUGGGGGGCACCAGGUUACCUAAGGAGAGGUGAACCGGCCCAAGUCGGAAACGGAGCAGGUCAAAGCUCGGGUGCUGAUCAGUAGUGGGAUCGCAUUUAUGAAUGGUCACUGCACUCUAGCAUGGGUGAAACAUAGUGACUUUUUUC
This is an unclassified non-coding RNA of Otolemur garnettii (small-eared galago), 296 nucleotides long. It matches the Rfam family "Metazoan signal recognition particle RNA". Rfam says of the family: The signal recognition particle (SRP) is a universally conserved ribonucleoprotein. It is involved in the co-translational targeting of proteins to membranes. The eukaryotic SRP consists of a 300-nucleotide 7S RNA and six proteins: SRPs 72, 68, 54, 19, 14, and 9. Lineage: Eukaryota; Metazoa; Chordata; Mammalia; Primates; Galagidae. The record is from Ensembl.